This 85-nucleotide transfer RNA is filed under the name Jaapia argillacea MUCL 33604. It matches the Rfam family "tRNA". Rfam says of the family: Transfer RNA (tRNA) molecules are approximately 80 nucleotides in length. Their secondary structure includes four short double-helical elements and three loops (D, anti-codon, and T loops). Further hydrogen bonds mediate the characteristic L-shaped molecular structure. tRNAs have two regions of fundamental functional importance: the anti-codon, which is responsible for specific mRNA codon recognition, and the 3' end, to which the tRNAs corresponding amino acid is attached (by aminoacyl-tRNA synthetases). tRNAs cope with the degeneracy of the genetic code in two manners: having more than one tRNA (with a specific anti-codon) for a particular amino acid; and 'wobble' base-pairing, i.e. permitting non-standard base-pairing at the 3rd anti-codon position. The record is from Rfam by way of RNAcentral. Lineage: Eukaryota; Fungi; Basidiomycota; Agaricomycetes; Jaapiales; Jaapiaceae.
GGGCUUGUAGCACAGUGGUUAGCGCGCACGCUUUGCAUCUCCGAUGAUCUGCGUGAGGUCAAGGGUUCAAAUCCCUUCUAGUCCA